RNAcentral lists this ribosomal RNA (496 nucleotides) under uncultured bacterium. RNAcentral's name for it is "partial 16S ribosomal RNA". It matches the Rfam family "Bacterial small subunit ribosomal RNA", at positions 30 to 523 of the family's 1533-position model. The record is from RNAcentral.
AUUGAACGCUGGCGGAAUGCUUUACACAUGCAAGUCGAACGGUAGAGGGGGCAACCCCUCGAGAGUGGCGAACGGGUGAGUAAUAUAUCGGAACGUGCCCAGUCGUGGGGGAUAACGUAGCGAAAGUUACGCUAAUACCGCAUACGAUCUAAGGAUGAAAGCGGGGGAUCGCAAGACCUCGCGCGAUUGGAGCGGCCGAUAUCAGAUUAGGUAGUUGGUGGGGUAAAGGCUCACCAAGCCAACGAUCUGUAGCUGGUCUGAGAGGACGACCAGCCACACUGGAACGGAGACACGGUGCAGACUCCGACGGGAGGCAGCAGUGGGGAAUUUUGGACAAUGGACGCAAGUCUGAUCCAGCCAUUCCGCGUGCAGGAUGAAGGCCCUCGGGUUGUAAACUGCUUUUGUACGGAACGAAAAGGUCUCUCUUAAUACGGGGGACUCAUGACGGUACCGUAAGAAUAAGCACCGGCUAACUACGUGCCAGCCGCCGCGGUAA